GAGGAAGCUAUUGGCUCGCUGGAGAAACGGCAUAAAUCGACUUCACGCCGUAGCAGGAGGAAGCACAAAAGUCAUAGUGAAGAUGAGGAGGACUCAGGUAGUAAAGAAACUAAAGGGAAUGAUAACUGGGAUGCCUUCCAAAACCUUCUUUUAAAAGACAAAGAUUCAGACCAGGAAACAGCUUCGUGUCCGUUGAACAUGGAGUCAGAAGUUGUGAGCAAGAGAGAGCUGCCUUCGGAUGAUUCUUUCUUGGUUGCAAAUGGGAAUGAGGAUUGGGGGAGGGAGAGCAGUAUUAAGAAACUUGAUGCCGGUGAGAAUGUUAGGCUGAUGAGAAGAGAGAACAACUAUGACGAUGAUAUGAUGAUGAAUCCUGGUAGAGGAGAUGAAUCAAGAAGCUACUCACAGGCAGAGAUGUCUGUUUAUAGUGGGAAGCUCCGAGCUAGAAAUGAGACGGAGGAAGACUGGUUCAUACGUAACCAAGCAGACACUGAAAGAGAUGUCAAAACCUUUGUAGGAGACGAUUUGCAUGUAACAAAGAGAAGUGGGAGAGAUGUCCUGACUGAUGACUCGUUCAUGAUCCAUUCUCGUGUUGAGAGCCAAGUGGAAGAGUCUCGGUUAAGGACAGAGAUCAUGGACUCUGACGUUUAUGGAACCACCAAACAAGAAAACUCCUCUGCACCGGAGGAGAUUAACAACAGACAAGAGCCGGAUGAUCUUUUCAUGGUUCUUGGACGUGAACAAGAUGUUACACCUGCGAUGGUGUCGUGGACCCCUGAGAUUGACUUCGAGGCUAACGCUUUGGCUGAAGAGAAACGCAAAAACGAUUUGGAAACUGCUGCAAAGGCCUCUGAACAGACUUCAGAUGUUAAAGAAAAGAAACUUCGUGUCGUUAGAAAGGAUGCAAAGACAAGAGCAGCAAGUAGACCUGACCCUGCUUUGAAAGCUAAGAGAGCUCCCUGGGGAAGUAGAGCAGCUGCCACCAAAACCAAAUCCGAGCUGGUAAAUUUCGCUUAACUAACAGCGUUUCAUUUUUCUUGAUUAGUUUCACUCUGGUUCUAUAAAUUGGUACGAAACAAUUUUCUUAAAAUUUAAUUAAUACUAAUCAAAUCGGUUUAAACCAUUUUAAUCGGUUUAAACCAUUUUAAAUCAUUCUAAAUUGGUUUAAACUAUUUUAAAUUGGUUUUAGUAGAACUAAAUUAGUCUAAAUAUGUUAAAUUAAACAAUAAUGUUAGUAUAAAUCCACAAUUUUGUCUUUUUUGUUUUGUUUUGUAUAUAUACUUAUGAUAAUUCAUCAAAAUAAUUUUAUAAUAAAACCAAAAACUAAAAUAUCGUAUAUAAAUGUGAAAUAUAUAUAAAAUAAAUUAAUAAUUCAUCAACGCCUAGAGUUCUGAAUUAAUAAAAUGCUUCUAGUUACAGCCUAACGAUUAACAUUGGUUUCACUUUUUCUCACUUGGAUUUGGUAUUUUGAUAGGAGGAAGAGAGGAAGAAGAGAAUGGAAGAACUUUUAAUUCAGAGGCAAAAGAGAAUCGCUGCGAAGAGUUCUGGCAGUAAUGUAUCAAGUCCCUUGGCCUCCAAGAAAACUCCUACUGGAACCAAAACCGUGAAGACCUCGAAUGACAAGACACCAGCAGAAGCCGUGAAGGCUAAGCCGUUACUGAGAAGUUCCACCAUUGAGCGCCUUGCUGUUGCCAGGACAGCACCAAAGGAGCCACAACAAAAACCAGUAACCAAAAGAACAUCAAAACCUCUAGGAAACAAGACAGAGAAACCUCAAGACAAGAAACCUAGUAGAAAAAGUCCGGGACUUUCUCGUGACCCGAGUCUCGAAAUCAAGGAAACAGUGGAGGAAGAAUCACAGUCUUACUUGCCGGUGAAGCAAGUUGAUGAACUUCCUCCUGCUGCUUCUUCUGUUGAUGACUUCAAAGACAUUAAAGAGAUGCAUAGCUUGCCGAAUGAAACAAUCACCAAUCAUCAGAAAGUAGAAGAUCAGAGGAAGAUUGAUGAUGAGGAGAUAGUGAAGAAGACAUCCGUCUGCGAAGACAAGCAAGUCACUAACAACCUUUGUUCGGAGGAUGUUGAAGAAGUUAAGGCUUCACCGCCAAAACCACUGUCUCCAAAGAAGUCGGUGACGUUUUCAGAGACAAACAUGGAGGAGAAGUAUUUCUUCUCACCAACGGUGUCGGAGACUGACGUCUCGACGCCGCCGGCUACUGAAGGCUCUGAGUUCUUGAUUAAUGUUUCAGUUGGUUAUUGACUCUGUUUGUAUUUGUAUAGGCACAAGGUGAAUCUGAUGGCCAAGAAAAUUCUAAGUAAGUUUUAGCAUAGCCUUCCUUUGUUGUUAUUGUCUUGAUCGGUUUUGUGAAGUAGAUGACAAGCGGUGAAAUGAAUGUAACAGGGUUGGUCUUCAGCGUGUUCUUGAAACCCGCAAAGCGGCUUUGUGCAAAGAGCAAGCCAUGGCUUACGCUAGAGCUUUGGUUGUUGGGUUUGAAUUGGACUACAUGGACGAUCUCUUGUCCUUCGCAGAUGCUUUUGGAGCUUCGCGUUUAAGGUUAGUAACUGAAACCAUCCAUGUCCUUGUGUGCAUUUGUAUGAAGAUGGUGAAUAAAUCACUUUUGUGUUGCGUUCAGGGAAGCAUGUGUUAACUUUGUGGACUUGUGCAAGAGAAAGAACGAAGAUAGGAUGUGGGUGGACCAAAUCACGGCAAUGCAAGCCUUUCCCAGGCCUGAGCUAUCCUUCAUGGGUGACUCUGGGAUCAUACUCGCUGGGGAAGAGAAUGAUAUCGUCAAACAAGGGAACAACAUGGAUGCAAUGAGCCAGGGUAGCUUUGAGACUAGCCAAGGUCCUCCUCAGAUGUCAAUCCCCUGGCCAAACCAUUAUCCUCCUCAGUACAUGCAAGGACAUGGCUAUCCUCCUUAUAUGUAUCCCGGCCAGCCACAGUACUUCCCUCAGUGGCCUGUCAACAUGGGAGGAGAUGUGGAGUCAAGUGAGAAGACUUCCAAGAAGAAAAAGAAGAAGAAGAAAAACAAGAAGAAGAAGUAUGAAUCUUCCGAGGAGCAAAGCGAUGAGUCCAGCGCCGAGACUGUAUCAGAGGAGGGGAAUGAAGGGAAGAAAUCAUCUAGAAAAGUUGUUAUACGCAACAUAAACUACAUAACUUCAAAGAGAAACGGAGCCAAGGAUAGCGAUUCUGAUGAGUCUGUAGACGAAGAAGAAGAAGGCUUUGUGGAUGGAGACUCCAUCAAGCAGCAAGUGGAGGAAGCUAUUGGCUCGCUGGAGAAACGGCAUAAAUCGACUUCACGCCGUAGCAGGAGGAAGCACAAAAGUCAUAGUGAAGAUGAGGAGGACUCAGGUAGUAAAGAAACUAAAGGGAAUGAUAACUGGGAUGCCUUCCAAAACCUUCUUUUAAAAGACAAAGAUUCAGACCAGGAAACAGCUUCGUGUCCGUUGAACAUGGAGUCAGAAGUUGUGAGCAAGAGAGAGCUGCCUUCGGAUGAUUCUUUCUUGGUUGCAAAUGGGAAUGAGGAUUGGGGGAGGGAGAGCAG
Molecule: long non-coding RNA, 3539 nt
Filed under: Brassica napus (rape)
Lineage: Eukaryota; Viridiplantae; Streptophyta; Magnoliopsida; Brassicales; Brassicaceae
Description: long non-coding RNA (BNAP_LNC009626)
Source: RNAcentral